This is a long non-coding RNA of Equus caballus (horse), 1847 nucleotides long. The record is from Ensembl. NCBI's taxonomy places the organism in Eukaryota, Metazoa, Chordata, Mammalia, Perissodactyla, Equidae.
AUGAAACAUCAGCACUUUCUGCAUACCCCCAGUUUCUAUAGCAUUGUUUCUCAGUUGUACAGUGUAUCUACUCUAAUUUCAACACUGCUUAUUACUUUAAAAAGUAGCUAUUAUUUCAAACCAGGAGGUAUUGAUUACAGAUGGAAUAACCUGGAACAAUGACUCACUUCCUCUACAGGGUAACUGAGUGAGCUUAGUAAAGUUUUAUUUCAUAUAUAUUUAUAUGAGGAGAGAGAAGAAAGACAGAGAGAGAGUUUCAAAUCAAGGGUGACCUGACGGGUACCAGAGACCUUUCUACACCGACCUGAGACAGUACGUGAGAAACUGGCUGUAAUUAUCUUCAAUCAAUUUUCUCAUUUGACAAAUCUCACUGUAUACAUUCAGCCUCCCAUUGCUGCUGUUGUCCAUGCUCCUUGUAGAAACGCCCACCUCAACCUAUUCAGGUUCCACCCUCCUCCUGUCUGCAUGACAAUUCCUGUGUAGCUACCUGAUACCUGAAAGUCUUUCAGGACGAGCUUUUGGUCUGGUCAAGCCAACUAUUUCAAGAAACCGGAGCUGAAUCAUGGACUACCAGUACAUGGUCUUCUAAUGCCAGGUUAUCUUAUCUAUGAAUCCAUAAAUCUAGGUACAUGUAGUAGCAGGAUUCUAUUGUUACUUGGAAGAUGUCUAUGGAAGGUCAGGUUCUAGAAAAUUUUGAAUUGCACAACAAUUUACAUGAGUAUGUGACUUAUGCUCCCAGUGCACCUACUUUUGCUGCAGUGACACGUCUUCCUGAACACACACCCAGGAGCCCAGGAGAAAUUCAUUAUAAUCUGUUGCCUGAGGAAGAAACAAUUUACUUUGAUUUAUGUGUUCUGAAAAUGUGCUGGUACCAGCUGGGAUUAGACUACUGGAGCAUUAAAACCUUCCUCAAUGGUAUUUUUGAAAGACAGUAAAGAAUGGAAUUUCUUUUAUUAGGCUGAACUUCAAGCUUUAUAUCUUUGCUGUACACUUUGUGGGGGGAAUUGUCUAAAAGUACCAAUCUACAAUGAUUCAUGGACAGUUACUAUUUUGUAAACAGUCCUGAAUUUGCAAUAAUCAAGAAUGAAGAGUUGGUUAUGAGGAAGUUUGUGUUAUGUGGGUGGAACACUUAAAUUAGUUUUAGAGUAAGACUGUUUCCUUCCAAUCUGAAAGUUCAUUAAUUCUUAUAAUAAUCAGAUGGGCAAAGAAGAACUAUUCUGUGCACUGUUUCAGCAGUUUUAAGUACUUGCUAUAAACUAGACACUGUUCUAUAUUCAAGAAUACAAACAUUAAAUAAAACAGACAAAAAUGCCUAUUUUUAUGUAACCUUCCUGUAGUUAUGGAGAUAAGGGACAUCAUCAAUAUGAAAAUAUACAUCAGAUAAUAUUUAGUAUUAAGGAAAUAAGCACAUGUUAGAAGUGGUAUAAUGUUAUACAAGAUGCCUAACAUAGCUGAGCAGAGACCAUAAAGAGAUGAGAGAGUAAAUUAUACUCCUGUAUGAGGAAAAAGCAUUCCAGCAAAAGGAAGAGUAAGCACAAAGUCUCUGAGGGAGAGUAAUUUCUUUUAUUCCAGAAACAUUGAAAAGGCCGGUGUGACUUGUAAGACAAGAGGAAUUUAGUAGGACAUAAAAUGAAAGAGCAAAAACAGUUAGCUAGAUCACUUAUAUUUUGAAGUUUGUUGAAAGAUAUUUGUCUUUUUCUCUCAGAGAUGUGGGAAACUGAAUAGAGGUUUAUGAGCAAAGAAGCAGCCUGAUACCAUAUAAGUUAAUUUUAAUAGGAUCACUCUGGCUAAUAUGUUGAGGGAAGGGUAGAAUGAGAGAGAGAAAUUCGCAAUAAUCCAGGUAAGAG